This 452-nucleotide small RNA is filed under the name Pongo abelii (Sumatran orangutan). RNAcentral describes it as "processed transcript". Lineage: Eukaryota; Metazoa; Chordata; Mammalia; Primates; Hominidae. The record is from RNAcentral.
AGUAUUUUCUACAUCAUCUAAUUCUGAACCCUUCAGAUUGAAUAGAAAUGUACUGUUAACAGGCAUCAGUGUCAUUCAAGGACGUGACUAUAGAAUUCACCCAGGAGGAGUGGCAGCAAAUGGCCCCUGUUCAGAAGAAUCUGUACAGAGAUGUGAUGCUGGAGAACUACAGCAACCUCGUCUCAGUGGGGUACUGCCAUUUCAAACCAGAGGUGAUCUUCAAGUUGGAGCAAGGAGAAGAGCCUUGGUUCUCAGAGGAGGAAUUCUCAAACCAGAGUCACCCAAGUGAGUUACUGAGUAGUAGUAGAUAUAAUUCUGCAGGAGUGGUUAGACUCCGGGUCACUUUAGGGGUGAACACCUAAAUAUUGCAAGACUUUUCUUAGCCUAAAGGCACAAAAAGCAGCAGUUAAAAGAAAAUGAUUAAUAAAGUUGAUUCCAUUAAAAGUAAGAAA